RNAcentral lists this ribosomal RNA (468 nucleotides) under uncultured bacterium. Its description in RNAcentral is "partial 16S ribosomal RNA". It matches the Rfam family "Bacterial small subunit ribosomal RNA", at positions 28 to 507 of the family's 1533-position model. The record is from RNAcentral.
GACGAACGCUGGCGGCGUGCUUAACACAUGCAAGUCGAACGGAAAGGCCCUGCUUUUGUGGGGUGCUCGAUUGGCGAACGGGUGAGUAACACGUGAGUAACCUGCCCUUGACUUUGGGAUAACUUCAGGAAACUGGGGCUAAUACCGGAUAGGAUCUCCUGCUGCAUGGUGGGGGUUGGAAAGUUUCGGCGGUUGUGGAUGGACUCGCGGCUUAUCAGCUUGUUGGUGGGGUAGUGGCUUACCAAGGCUUUGACGGCUAGCCGGCCUGAGAGGGUGACCGGCCACAUUGGGACUGAGAUACGGCCCAGACUCCUACGGGAGGCAGCAGUGGGGAAUAUUGCACAAUGGGCGGAAGCCUGAUGCAGCAACGCCGCGUGCGGGAUGACGGCCUUCGGGUUGUAAACCGAUUUCGCCUGUGACGAAGCGUGAGUGACGGUAAUGGGUAAAGAAGCACCGGCUAACUACGUG